This 522-nucleotide ribosomal RNA is filed under the name uncultured organism. RNAcentral describes it as "SSU rRNA". It matches the Rfam family "Bacterial small subunit ribosomal RNA", at positions 20 to 509 of the family's 1533-position model. The record is from RNAcentral.
UGGCUCAGGAUGAACGCUGGCGGCAUGCCUAAGACAUGCAAGUCGAACGAGAUAGUCCGAAGAAAGUGGAGUGCUUGCACGAAGCUGGACGCGGGACAACUAUCUAGUGGCAGACGGGUGAGUAACACGUGGGUAACCUACCUUGGUGAUGGGGAUAACAUUUGGAAACGGAUGCUAAUACCGAAUAAGAUACGUAAGUAUUGAAAGUGGCAAUUAAGCCACGCACGAAGAUGGGCCUGCGGCGUAUUAACUAGUUGGUGGGGUAAAGGCCUACCAAGGUGACGAUGCGUAGCCGGACUGAGAGGUUGAACGGCCACACUGGGACUGAGACACGGCCCAGACUCCUACGGGAGACAGCAGUUAGGGAUAUUCGUCAAUGGGGGAAACCCUGAACGAGCAAUGCCGCGUGAGUGAAGAAGGUUUUAGGAUUGUAAAACUCUGUUGUAUAGGAAGAACGUUACUAUUAGGAAAUGAAUAGUAAGUGACGGUACUAUGCGAGAAAGCCCCGGCUAACUACGUGCC